Molecule: unclassified non-coding RNA, 335 nt
Filed under: soil metagenome
Description: partial contains 5.8S ribosomal RNA, internal transcribed spacer 2, and large subunit ribosomal RNA
Rfam family: 5.8S ribosomal RNA (bases 1-120)
Source: RNAcentral
GAUGAAGAACGUAGCGAAAUGCGAUAAGUAAUGUGAAUUGCAGAAUUCAGUGAAUCAUCGAAUCUUUGAACGCACAUUGCGCCCGCCAGUAUUCUGGCGGGCAUGCUUGUUCGAGCGUCAUUUCAACCAUCAAGCCCCCGGCUUGUGUUGGGGACCUGCGGCUGCCGCAGGCCCUGAAAACCAGUGGCGGGCUCGCUAGUCACUCCGAGCGUAGUAAUACAUCUCGCUCAGGGCGUGCUGCGGGUUCCGGCCGUUAAAAAGCCUUAUUUACCCAAGGUUGACCUCGGAUCAGGUAGGAAGACCCGCUGAACUUAAGCAUAUCAAUAAGCGGAGGA